CUAUGGCUAAUUCUAACUAACUAUUAUGCUUAUUAAUAGUCUUGCCACCACUACUUUCUUGUUCUUGAUUUGCUGAAGCUUUGCCCCUACUGCUGUUACUGCAUUCUCUGCUACCAUCUUUUAGUUGGGAGCUUUCCAUCUUUGUAUUGUAUUUGUACUUGUUAUCUCAACACUGAUGAAUAUCUAAAAUCCUGACACUUUUGUUAUUCCAGCAAAUUUCCUACAAGAAAAAAACAAAAAUGAGUUUCUAUCAGAACUCGAAAACAUAAUCAACGAAGAAAAUUAUAGAUAAGAAGACAAGAUUUACGUUGAAAAACCCAAA
Molecule: long non-coding RNA, 322 nt
Filed under: Panax ginseng (ginseng)
Lineage: Eukaryota; Viridiplantae; Streptophyta; Magnoliopsida; Apiales; Araliaceae
Description: long non-coding RNA (PGIN_LNC017525)
Source: RNAcentral